Molecule: ribosomal RNA, 492 nt
Filed under: uncultured bacterium
Lineage: Bacteria
Description: partial 16S ribosomal RNA
Rfam family: Bacterial small subunit ribosomal RNA
Source: RNAcentral
AGUGAACGCUGGCGGUAGGCCUAACACAUGCAAGUCGAACGGCAGCACAGUAAGAGCUUGCUCUUACGGGUGGCGAGUGGCGGACGGGUGAGGAAUACAUCGGAAUCUACUUUUUCGUGGGGGAUAACGUAGGGAAACUUACGCUAAUACCGCAUACGACCUACGGGUGAAAGCAGGGGAUCUUCGGACCUUGCGCGAUUGAAUGAGCCGAUGUCGGAUUAGCUAGUUGGCGGGGUAAAGGCCCACCAAGGCGACGAUGCGUAGCUGGUCUGAGAGGAUGAUCAGCCACACUGGAACUGAGACACGGUCCAGACUCCUACGGGAGGCAGCAGUGGGGAAUAUUGGACAAUGGGCGAAAGCCUGAUCCAGCCAUACCGCGUGGGUGAAGAAGGCCUUCGGGUUGUAAAGCCCUUUUGUUGGGAAAGAAAAGCAGCAGGUUAAUACCCCGCUGUUCUGACGGUACCCAAAGAAUAAGCACCGGCUAACUUCGUG